Molecule: ribosomal RNA, 484 nt
Filed under: uncultured bacterium
Lineage: Bacteria
Description: partial 16S ribosomal RNA
Rfam family: Bacterial small subunit ribosomal RNA
Source: RNAcentral
AUUGAACGCUGGCGGCAUGCUUUACACAUGCAAGUCGAACGGUAACAGGGUGCUUGCACCGCUGACGAGUGGCGAACGGGUGAGUAAUGCAUCGGAAUGUACCGGGUAAUGGGGGAUAGCUCGGCGAAAGCCGGAUUAAUACCGCAUACGCCCUGAGGGGGAAAGUGGGGGACCGAAAGGCCUCACGUUAUCCGAGCAGCCGAUGUCUGAUUAGCUAGUUGGUGAGGUAAAGGCUCACCAAGGCGUCGAUCAGUAGCGGGUCUGAGAGGAUGAUCCGCCACACUGGGACUGAGACACGGCCCAGACUCCUACGGGAGGCAGCAGUGGGGAAUUUUGGACAAUGGGCGCAAGCCUGAUCCAGCCAUGCCGCGUGUCUGAAGAAGGCCUUCGGGUUGUAAAGGACUUUUGUCCGGGAGCAAAUCCUAGUGGUUAAUAACCGCUGGGUCUGAGAGUACCGGAAGAAUAAGCACCGGCUAACUACGUG